UACGUAGGGUGCGAGCGUUAAUCGGAUUUACUGGGCGUAAAGCGUGCGCAGGCGGCCCGUUAAGACAGGUGUGAAAUCCCUGGGCUCAACCUAGGAAUUGCGCUUGUGACUGGCGGGCUCGAGUACGGUAGAGGGGGGUGGAAUUCCCGGUGUAGCGGUGAAAUGCGUAGAGAUCUGGAGGAAUACCGAUGGCGAAGGCAGCCCCCUGGGCCUGUACUGACGCUCAUGCACGAAAGCGUGGGGAGCAAACAGG
RNAcentral lists this ribosomal RNA (253 nucleotides) under uncultured microorganism. Its description in RNAcentral is "partial 16S ribosomal RNA". It matches the Rfam family "Bacterial small subunit ribosomal RNA", at positions 524 to 776 of the family's 1533-position model. The record is from RNAcentral.